GCCGUUAGGAAACGACGAAUAACUACCCUAUGACAAUAAACCUCCUCGCAUGAGGAGCUUAUCAAAGAUUUAUCGGUGUAAGAUGGACUCGCGUCUGAUUAGCUAGUUGGUGAGGUAACGGCCCACCAAGGCGACGAUCAGUAGCCGGCUUGAGAGAGUGUACGGCCACAUUGGGACUGAGACACGGCCCAGACUCCUACGGGAGGCAGCAGAC
RNAcentral lists this ribosomal RNA (214 nucleotides) under uncultured Anaerococcus sp. RNAcentral's name for it is "partial 16S ribosomal RNA". It matches the Rfam family "Bacterial small subunit ribosomal RNA", at positions 146 to 354 of the family's 1533-position model. Lineage: Bacteria; Bacillati; Bacillota; Tissierellia; Tissierellales; Peptoniphilaceae. The record is from RNAcentral.